This 253-nucleotide ribosomal RNA is filed under the name uncultured bacterium. RNAcentral's name for it is "partial 16S ribosomal RNA". It matches the Rfam family "Bacterial small subunit ribosomal RNA", at positions 524 to 776 of the family's 1533-position model. The record is from RNAcentral.
UGCGUAGGGUGCAAGCGUUAAUCGGAAUUACUGGGCGUAAAGCGUGCGCAGGCGGUUUUGUAAGACGGAUGUGAAAUCCCCGGGCUCAACCUGGGAACUGCAUUCGUGACUGCAAGGCUAGAGUGUGUCAGAGGGAGGUGGAAUUCCGCGUGUAGCAGUGAAAUGCGUAGAGAUGCGGAGGAACACCGAUGGCGAAGGCAGCCUCCUGGGGUAACACUGACGCUCAUGCACGAAAGCGUGGGGAGCAAACAGG